GAUGAACGCUGGCGGCGUGCUUAACACAUGCAAGUCGAACGGAAAGGCCCCAGCUUGCUGGGGUACUCGAGUGGCGAACGGGUGAGUAACACGUGGGUGAUCUGCCCUGCACUUUGGGAUAAGCUUGGGAAACUGGGUCUAAUACCGAAUAUGACCACUUCUUGGAUGUUGUGGUGGAAAGCUUUUGCGGUGUGGGAUGAGCCUGCGGCCUAUCAGCUUGUUGGUGGGGUAAUGGCCUACCAAGGCGGCGACGGGUAUCCGGCCUGAGAGGGUGUACGGACACAUUGGGACUGAGAUACGGACCAGACUCCUACGGGAGGCAGCAGUGGGGAAUAUUGCACAAUGGGCGCAAGCCUGAUGCAGCGACGCCGCGUGGGGGAUGUAGGCCUUCGGGUUGUAAACUCCUUUCGCUAUCGACGAAGCCACUUGUGGUGACGGUAGGUAGAUAAGAAGCACCGGCUAACUACGUGCCAGCCGCCGCCGUAA
Molecule: ribosomal RNA, 486 nt
Filed under: uncultured bacterium
Lineage: Bacteria
Description: partial 16S ribosomal RNA
Rfam family: Bacterial small subunit ribosomal RNA
Source: RNAcentral